GGCUUAACCCCAGACCUGCAUUCGAUACGGGCGAGCUUGAGUAUGGUAGGGGAGUCUGGAAUUCCUGGUGUAGCGGUGGAAUGCGCAGAUAUCAGGAGGAACACCAAUGGCGAAGGCAGGACUCUGGGCCAUUACUGACACUGAGGAGCGAAAGCGUGGGGAGCGAACAGGAUUAGAUACCCUGGUAGUCCACGCCGUAAACGGUGGGCACUAGUUGUGGGGACCUUCCACGGUCUCUGCGACGCAGCUAACGCAUUAAGUGCCCCGCCUGGGGAGUACGAUCGCAAGAUUAAAACUCAAAGGAAUUGACGGGGCCCCGCACAAGCAGCGGAGCAUGCGGCUUAAUUCGACGCAACGCGAAGAACCUUACCAAGGCUUGACAUAUACAGGAAUAUGGCAGAGAUGUCAUAGCCGCAAGGUCUGUAUACAGGUGGUGCAUGGUUGUCGUCAGCUCGUGUCGUGAGAUGUUGGGUUAAGUCCCGCAACGAGCGCAACCCUCGUUCUGUGUUGCCAGCAUUUAGUUGGGGACUCACAGGAGACUGCCGGGGUUAACUCGGAGGAAGGUGGGGAUGACGUCAAAUCAUCAUGCCCCUUAUGUCUUGGGCUGCACGCAUGCUACAAUGGCUGGUACAAACGGCUGCAAUACCGCAAGGUGGAGCGAAUCCGAGAAAGC
Molecule: ribosomal RNA, 673 nt
Filed under: uncultured bacterium
Lineage: Bacteria
Description: bacterial SSU rRNA
Rfam family: Bacterial small subunit ribosomal RNA
Source: RNAcentral